RNAcentral lists this ribosomal RNA (401 nucleotides) under uncultured bacterium. Its description in RNAcentral is "bacterial SSU rRNA". It matches the Rfam family "Bacterial small subunit ribosomal RNA", at positions 29 to 424 of the family's 1533-position model. The record is from RNAcentral.
AUUGAACGCUGGCGGCAGGCCUAACACAUGCAAGUCGAACGGUAGCACAGGAGAGCUUGCUCUCUGGGUGACGAGUGGCGGACGGGUGAGUAAUGCAUGGGGAGCUGCCCAAUCGAGGGGGAUACCAGCUGGAAACGGCUGCUAAUACCGCAUACGCCCUGAGGGGGAAAGGUGGGGACCUUCGGGCCUACCGCGAUUGGAUGCACCCAUGUGGGAUUAGCUAGUUGGUGAGGUAACGGCUCACCAAGGCGACGAUCUCUAGCUGGUCUGAGAGGAUGACCAGCCACACUGGAACUGAGACACGGUCCAGACUCCUACGGGAGGCAGCAGUGGGGAAUAUUGCACAAUGGGGGAAACCCGUACGAUGCAGCCAUGCCGCGUGUGUGAAGAAGGCCUCGGUU